CGUGAAUGAAAGAACGGAAAAGACGCGAUUGGAUGUCCAUGCUUCGUUUUAUCUAUAAAAAUCUUGCAUUUGUUUUAGUUUCUGACCCCAUCUGUGACCCAUCAGUUGAGACUUUCCACACAGAAUAGAUGAAAAGUCAAAGGAUGGCCUCCUGGGUGACAGGUCAGUGGAUCAGUUGGGUGUUUGGCACAACCUGACCAAUGAAGCAGGAGAUUUUGAGCAGGUCUGGUUCUGCUAGACAUCAGCAGUGACCUUUUUUCCUCUCAAAGUCAGCUGUCAACCACCCAGAGGUCAUAGUCUGUAAUUUGAGUGCUGACCAUCACCUCUCUGGUCCAAGGCUUUGGGUUGCACAGACAUUUCCGUCUCCCACCUUCUGCUUCAAACCCCUAGAAACAUCCAUAUGGGGUCUUGACUCUGGGCCCGUGACUCAUGACUCGCCAAGCAACAGAUGGACGCCUCCUAGAAUAUACAAUAACAGCUUCGACUCACUAUAGUGAACAUAACAUGUCUUAUUCACCCUGAACCUAGGGUCAGAUAUGGUACGUCUAGCACAGAGUG
This is a long non-coding RNA of Sinocyclocheilus grahami, 558 nucleotides long. RefSeq lists it as uncharacterized. The transcript is spliced from 4 exons. The record is from RefSeq and is a predicted model, not a curated record. Lineage: Eukaryota; Metazoa; Chordata; Actinopteri; Cypriniformes; Cyprinidae.